UCAUCUUUUUUUUUAUUUACCUUCCUCAAAGGUUUCCGCACGUUUACCCAAACCCACGAAGCUGUUGUCGCUAUUCAACGGCUGUCGUGGCCUUCACCGUCACACUAAUCAAGAUCUCCUCACUGUUUCGAGUCAACCCAGCCAUCCUUGCCUCUAGCAUCGUCGAUUUCUUCUUUGUCGUCUCGUUUCACCUUUGCGAUUUCUUGUUUUUGGUUUCUGGUUCAAUCUGGUUUUUUCUUCAAUCUAGUCGUUCAACAUAAUCAUUUAUUUCUGAAACUUGAUCAUAAAAUCUCAUUUUUUUUAUCUUCAUCUGGGAGACCACGAGCCUGUAGGAAGCAGCUGCAAAGAAGAAAAUUGCAAGUUAAGGGCUUCAGGGUGAAGUUUCACUAGGAAAGUGAAUAUGGCCGAUUCUCAGGAUCCUUUCGACCCUUCGAAGCGCAAAGGAUAUAUGUCAUGGGAUGACUAUUUUAUGACAAUUGCAUUCUUAUCUGCUAAGAGAUCCAAAGACCCAUACUGGCAGGUCAUAAUUUUUUUGCUAAGUGGUUUCAAUUUUGCAUUCAAUCAUGUAUAAUCGUAGCUACCCGAAGUGCUUAAUUUUGCAGUUGGCAUGUUUGUUUGAAAAACUAUGUUAAAACUAAGAACUUUGAUUUUAGUAUUUGUUUUGUUUUGAUUUGUUUUUUUGGGUUGGUGCAUGCUUGGUGAGUCAAAACGGUAUAAUACUUGGUAAGAUUUUUGCUUGAAUUGCAAUCGUAAGAGUUGAAGUUAGAAAUAAAGGCAGGCAUUGUUUAUGGAUUCUAGUUCCUUUUUUUUUUCAGGCACGGCUAUAAUGGGUUCCCGAGAGUUUGUUCUGAUGACAAGCUUCCUUGGGAAAAGUCAAUGCGAUCCUGAAUACAAAUCAUGCAUCUGCAGCUGGCCAGGGACUUUAUGUGAUCAUGUUCCCUGAUAAUGAAUGUGCAAAGAUAAAUCAUUCAGGUUUGGUAAGCUAAUUGAGAUUAUGGUAUUGUGUGUGUGUGUGUAUAUAUAUCCCUCUUUAAGUCCCUGGUUUCAUUGGUGUCGGUUUUCAUUGCUAAGAUAACCCCAACAAACCUUAGAGGGGCUUUAUUAACGAUACAUCAGGGACUUUAUGUGUGUAUAUAUAUCAAAUUCUUUUUUUUCUCGAAGCAUUCAAGUCCGUCACUCGUAUCAGGCACAUUCGCACCUUCUUCCUAAUUAACAUAGCUUUACGAAAUCGAUAUUAUGUCAGGUUGCCAUUGCCUCUGGUCUGCUGGUGGCAUAUACAGUAGGAGCAUUAGUUUCUCAGAGAACAGUGGCUUUAACUAGUAAGUUAGUUUAGUGCAUUGUGUUUAUGGAAAGAAAAUUUUCAAAUUAGAAACAAUACUUUAGUCAUUGUGUCCAUGUGCAAUUAUGAUUUUGGGGCUUUAUUUCUUCUCAGAGUCCUCUAGAUGGCUGGUAAGAACAAUUUCUUACUGUAAA
Long non-coding RNA from Hibiscus syriacus, 1473 nucleotides. RefSeq lists it as uncharacterized. The transcript is spliced from 6 exons. NCBI's taxonomy places the organism in Eukaryota, Viridiplantae, Streptophyta, Magnoliopsida, Malvales, Malvaceae. The record is from RefSeq and is a predicted model, not a curated record.